GACGACUGCGAACACGGUGCGCGCCCGCGCCUCCCGAACCGUUCGCGCCUCUACGUCAUCAGAUGAUUUUUAGUACUUAUUCUUUAUACAAAGCACAAUAAUUUUGAACUUAUAAUAUAAUUAAAUUGCAUGUCGCGUGCUUAGUGUUGCUAAGAAUAUAAUUUCUGCCAGCGGUUUCAUCCACGAUCCAACUUCUACCGGGAUAAAAAGUCGCCUAUCAACUACCUUCCACAUAUUCUCUUUUUUCUACUUCUACUCGUGAAGUCGGUGAAGUUGAAGCAUGAAAAACAUGCCUAUGUAAGUAUAGUCUUAGAAUAAUAAUUUAAAUUUCUAAUGAAAAUAGAGGGCUUGGAUGUGAAAAGUUGUUAUCCAUUCAACCCGAUCAUGUUGUGAUAAAAUAUUUAAAUCAUUAAGGGUGUUCUAAAAAUAAAAGUGUGAAAUAGGUUUGUUUUUUUAUUAGCUUAGCAGUAAGUUUACGACGAGGCUACAGCUUUCUUGGGAGUAGGUUUGCCUUCCUUGAAGCCAUUGCGGAAACGCCUCCUCACGAUUUUCAGGUGACGCAUGCGGCCAGUUCCUGUGGUCUUCCUGCGCUUAGCCUUCACUGACCAGU
This is a long non-coding RNA of Helicoverpa zea (corn earworm), 610 nucleotides long. RefSeq lists it as uncharacterized. The record is from RefSeq and is a predicted model, not a curated record. The transcript has 2 exons. NCBI's taxonomy places the organism in Eukaryota, Metazoa, Arthropoda, Insecta, Lepidoptera, Noctuidae.